GACGAACGCUGGCGGCGUGCUUAACACAUGCAAGUCGAACGGAAAGGCCCUGCUUUUGUGGGGUGCUCGAGUGGCGAACGGGUGAGUAACACGUGAGUAACCUGCCCUUGACUUUGGGAUAACUUCAGGAAACUGGGGCUAAUACCGGAUCGGCGCUCCUGCUGCAUGGUGGGGGUUGGAAAGUUUCGGCGGUUGGGGAUGGACUCGCGGCUUAUCAGCUUGUUGGUGGGGUAGUGGCUUACCAAGGCGUUGACGGGUAGCCGGCCUGAGAGGGUGACCGGCCACAUUGGGACUGAGAUACGGCCCAGACUCCUACGGGAGGCAGCAGUGGGGAAUAUUGCACAAUGGGCGGAAGCCUGAUGCAGCAACGCCGCGUGCGGGAUGACGGCCUUCGGGUUGUAAACCGCUUUCGCCUGUGACGAAGCGUGAGUGACGGUAAGGGGUAAAGAAGCACCGGCUAACUACGUG
Molecule: ribosomal RNA, 468 nt
Filed under: uncultured bacterium
Lineage: Bacteria
Description: partial 16S ribosomal RNA
Rfam family: Bacterial small subunit ribosomal RNA
Source: RNAcentral